UCCUAAAAAAAUUAUAAAGUGCAGCGAUUCCAGUUGUCGCCAAGGACUGCUUUAUGGAACUUUGGCGAGGAGGUCUAGUGUGUAGUACAGUCUAUGGCCACUGGGGGCAGCAACAAGUGUAGAUCUGUGGAAAAUAGCAAAAAUAAUCCUGUAAACAACCAUAGUCGAAACUGCAUGCCGAUGGGCCGUGAGCUGCCCGUGCUAAAGAUGUGGAUGUUGCAAACUCCGGCCGAGUGGAGCCGUGGCCAUCGGCAUCUCCAUAGGAGCCACCUGGCCGGAUCAUUCACAGGAGCUGCCUCGCCGCCAGCGACAUCGACAAGCGCGAGAACCCUCUCUCCUCCCUCUCCUUCCUUCUCUUCCUCCUCCUCUCUUUAAUCUCUCCUCUCCCUCUCUUCUGCAGGAGGAGCCAUGCCGUCCCGAGUCGCCCUGCAGCCCCGUAGCCACCGCCUACAUGGUUCGUCAUCGGCCACCCGAGACCCUCUCUCGACGCUGGUCUGCUGCACCUCGCCGGAGUGCAGUUGCCCGCCUCGUGCGUCGGUUGUGCAGGACGAGGGUGAGCGCCCACUCGCCAGCCCGUCUCGCCCUUGCCUCAUGCAUCGCCAGCGCUAGGCCGCCGGCCCAGCCCCAGCCGGUCUGCCCCG
This 641-nucleotide long non-coding RNA is filed under the name Hordeum vulgare. RNAcentral describes it as "long non-coding RNA (HVUL_LNC010369)". Lineage: Eukaryota; Viridiplantae; Streptophyta; Magnoliopsida; Poales; Poaceae. The record is from RNAcentral.